UAGGCUAAGCUGGCUUCGUCAUCAAUAUCUUAAGUGGUUGCUUUGUCCCCUCUGUCUAUAGAAUGGGAGUAACAGAGCUGCUGCACUUGAUGCUGGUUGAGAAGAGAAGAGAUCAAACACAACUGUGAGGUUAACGAUGUAGUGGAGGCUGCUGAAACCUGAAGUGGGCAGAUGCCGUGGAUACAGAUGAGCUCAGAUCCAGCUUGUAGCAGCCUUCUGAUGAUGUCUGAAGAUGAUUACGGAGGUUGCUGGGAUGGAGGAUCUGGCACUUCUUCACCUGCUC
This 283-nucleotide long non-coding RNA is filed under the name Apteryx rowi (Okarito brown kiwi). Its description in RNAcentral is "lncRNA (ENSARWG00000017842.1)". Lineage: Eukaryota; Metazoa; Chordata; Aves; Apterygiformes; Apterygidae. The record is from RNAcentral.